AACGAACGCUGGCGGCAGGCUUAACACAUGCAAGUCGAGCGAGAAAGGCACUUCGGUGCUGAGUAGAGCGGCGAACGGGUUAGUAACGCGUGGGAACAUACCUAGUAGUGGGGGAUAACAGUUGGAAACGACUGCUAAUACCGCAUACGCCCUAAGGGGGAAAGAUUUAUCGCUAUUAGAUUGGCCCGCGUUAGAUUAGUUAGUUGGUGAGGUAAUGGCUCACCAAGGCGAUGAUCUAUAGCUGGUUUUAGAGGAUGAUCAGCAACACUGGAACUGAGACACGGUCCAGACUCCUACGGGAGGCAGCAGUGGGGAAUAUUGCACAAUGGAGGAAACUCUGAUGCAGCCAUGCCGCGUGAGUGAUGAAGGCCCUAGGGUUGUAAAACUCUUUCAGAUGUGAGGAUGAUGACGUUAACAUCAGAAGAAGCCCCGGCUAACUUCG
Molecule: ribosomal RNA, 442 nt
Filed under: uncultured Alphaproteobacteria bacterium
Lineage: Bacteria; Pseudomonadati; Pseudomonadota; Alphaproteobacteria
Description: bacterial SSU rRNA
Rfam family: Bacterial small subunit ribosomal RNA
Source: RNAcentral